AUUGAACGCUGGCGGCAUGCCUUACACAUGCAAGUCGAACGGCAGCACGGGUGCUUGCACCUGGUGGCGAGUGGCGAACGGGUGAGUAAUACAUCGGGACAUGUCCUGGAGUGGGGGAUAGCCCGGCGAAAGCCGGAUUAAUACCGCAUACGAUCUACGGGUGAAAGCGGGGGACCUUCGGGCCUCGCGCUAUAGGGUUGGCCGAUGGCUGAUUAGCUAGUUGGUGGGGUAAAGGCCUACCAAGGCGACGAUCAGUAGCUGGUCUGAGAGGACGACCAGCCACACUGGGACUGAGACACGGCCCAGACUCCUACGGGAGGCAGCAGUGGGGAAUUUUGGACAAUGGGCGAAAGCCUGAUCCAGCAAUGCCGCGUGUGUGAAGAAGGCCUUCGGGUUGUAAAGCACUUUUGUCCGGAAAGAAAUCCUUGGCCCUAAUACGGUCGGGGGAUGACGGUACCGGAAGAAUAAGCACCGGCUAACUACGUG
This 486-nucleotide ribosomal RNA is filed under the name uncultured bacterium. Its description in RNAcentral is "partial 16S ribosomal RNA". It matches the Rfam family "Bacterial small subunit ribosomal RNA", at positions 29 to 507 of the family's 1533-position model. The record is from RNAcentral.